This 484-nucleotide ribosomal RNA is filed under the name uncultured bacterium. RNAcentral describes it as "partial 16S ribosomal RNA". It matches the Rfam family "Bacterial small subunit ribosomal RNA", at positions 28 to 523 of the family's 1533-position model. The record is from RNAcentral.
GACGAACGCUGGCGGCGUGCUUAACACAUGCAAGUCGAACGAUGAACCCGGGGCUUGCUCCGGUGGAUUAGUGGCGAACGGGUGAGUAACACGUGAGUAACCUGCCCUUGACUCUGGGAUAACUGCGGGAAACUGUAGCUAAUACCGGAUACGUCCCUCGGCGGCAUCGCCAGGGGGUGGAAAGAAUUUCGGUCAAGGAUGGACUCGCGGCCUAUGAGCUAGUUGGUGAGGUAACGGAUCACCAAGGCGACGACGGGUAGCCGGCCUGAGAGGGGGACCGGCCACACUGGGAAGGAGACCCGACCCAGACUCCUACGGGAGACAGGAGUUGGGAAGAGUGCACAAUGGGCGCAAGCCUGAUGCAGAAACGGCGCGUGAGGGAUGACGGCCUUCGGGUUGUAAACCUCUUUUAGUAGGGAAGAAGCGAAAGUGACGGUACCUGCAGAAAAAGCACCGGCUAACUACGUGCCAGCAGCCGCGGUAA